This 988-nucleotide small RNA is filed under the name Pan troglodytes (chimpanzee). Its description in RNAcentral is "retained intron". Lineage: Eukaryota; Metazoa; Chordata; Mammalia; Primates; Hominidae. The record is from RNAcentral.
AGCAGCCCGACGCAAGAGGCAGGAAGCGCGGCAGCUCGUGUCUGAGCGCCCGGCGGAAAACCGAAGUCAGAAGUCUCUCUUAGCAGCACGCGGAGAAGAACGGGGAGCCAGCAUCAUGGCAGAACAGGAUGUGGAAAACGAUCUUUUGGAUUAUGAUGAAGAGGAAGAGCCCCAGGCUCCUCAAGAGAGCACACCGGCUCCCCCUAAGAAAGACAUCAAGGGAUCCUACGUUUCCAUCCACAGCUCUGGCUUCCGGGACUUUCUGCUGAAGCCGGAGCUCCUGCGGGCCAUCGUGGACUGUGGCUUUGAGCAUCCUUCUGAGGUCCAGCAUGAGUGCAUUCCCCAGGCCAUCCUGGGCAUGGACGUCCUGUGCCAGGCCAAGUCCGGGAUGGGCAAGACAGCGGUCUUCGUGCUGGCCACCCUACAGCAGAUUGAGCCUGUCAACGGACAGGUGACGGUCCUGGUCAUGUGCCACACGAGGGAGCUGGCCUUCCAGAUCAGCAAGGAAUAUGAGCGCUUUUCCAAGUACAUGCCCAGCGUCAAGGUGAGCCCCUCGGGCCGGACUGGACCAGGCGCCACUUGGUUUCUGCAGCUUUGUUAGCCUCGGCUCUGGCCCAGCCAGCAUUUACCAAGCUUGGCAGGGGCAGCUGCCUUUGAGGUUUGCGGUGGUUUUUGCUCCUUAAAAGCUUGAUGAAUUAUGCAUGGCUCCCAGGGGCCUGCGCAGGUCCCAGCCUGGGGCUGCCUUUGAGUGGAGCCCCGGGAGGCUCUCAGGCCUGCCUUGGUCCCCUGAGGCCUCCUGUUCGCAGGUGCUGGGCCGUGCGGGUCGGGGCCUUGGGCCGUGUAUCAGCAUGGACCGGUUUCCUCCUCAUCCCCAUAGGUGUCUGUGUUCUUCGGUGGUCUCUCCAUCAAGAAGGAUGAAGAAGUGUUGAAGAAGAACUGUCCCCAUGUCGUGGUGGGGACCCCGGGCCGCAUCCUGGCGCUCGUGCGG